GUAGGUGGCAAGCGUUGUCCGGAAUUAUUGGGCGUAAAGCGCGCGCAGGCGGUUCUUUAAGUCUCGAUGUGAAAGCCCACGCCCAACCGUGGAGGGUCAUUGGAAACUGGAGAACUUGAGUACAGAAGAGGAAAGCGGAAUUCCACGUGUAGCGGUGAAAUGCGUAGAGAUGUGGAGGAACACCAGUGGCGAAGGCGGCUUUCUGGUCUGUAACUGACGCUGAGGCGCGAAAGCGUGGGGAGCAAACAGGGACUAGAUACCCUGGUAGUCCACGCCGUAAACGAUGAGUGCUAAGUGUUAGGGGGUUUCCCGCCCCUUAGUGCUGCAGCUAACGCAUUAAGCACUCCGCCUGGGGAGUACGCCGCAAGGCUG
RNAcentral lists this ribosomal RNA (372 nucleotides) under uncultured organism. RNAcentral's name for it is "partial 16S ribosomal RNA". It matches the Rfam family "Bacterial small subunit ribosomal RNA", at positions 527 to 896 of the family's 1533-position model. The record is from RNAcentral.